AAUAGAUACCCAGGUAGUCCACGCCGUAAACGAUGAGUGCUAAGUGUUAGAGGGUUUCCGCCCUUUAGUGCUGCAGCAAACGCAUUAAGCACUCCGCCUGGGGAGUACGACCGCAAGGUUGAAACUCAAAGAAAUUGACGGGGGCCCGCACAAGCGGUGGAGCAUGUGGUUUAAUUCGAAGCAACGCGAAGAACCUUACCAGGUCUUGACAUCCUCUGACAAUCCUAGAGAUAGGACUUUCCCCUUCGGGGGACAGAGUGACAGGUGGUGCAUGGUUGUCGUCAGCUCGUGUCGUGAGAUGUUGGGUUAAGUCCCGCAACGAGCGCAACCCUUGAUCUUAGUUGCCAGCAUUUAGUUGGGCACUCUAAGGUGACUGCCGGUGACAAACCGGAGGAAGGUGGGGAUGACGUCAAAUCAUCAUGCCCCUUAUGACCUGGGCUACACACGUGCUACAAUGGAUGGUACAAAGGGCUGCAAGACCGCGAGGUUUAGCCAAUCCCAUAAAACCAUUCUCAGUUCGGA
Molecule: ribosomal RNA, 522 nt
Filed under: uncultured bacterium
Lineage: Bacteria
Description: bacterial SSU rRNA
Rfam family: Bacterial small subunit ribosomal RNA
Source: RNAcentral